Ochotona curzoniae (black-lipped pika) is the source of this 380-nucleotide long non-coding RNA. RefSeq lists it as uncharacterized. Lineage: Eukaryota; Metazoa; Chordata; Mammalia; Lagomorpha; Ochotonidae. The record is from RefSeq and is a predicted model, not a curated record. The transcript has 3 exons.
CAGCUGACAGUGUGCAAAACCCAAAAGGCAAUCUUGUCCAAUCACUAAUUCAAACAAGGACUUGCUACAUUUCAGGAUAUGAGAUGUGUGUCCCUCAGGACCAGAAAAUAGACUCAUCAGAAUGAAGAAAAGUGAGGACCAUGAUGAGAACAGCUCUAAUCCAUGUGGAACAGAAAGGUAUACUUUCAUAUCUGUGAAUUAAAAUUUCUGAUGGUUCAUAACUUAUGAAACAGAAUCGAUUCUAGAACAUUAAAUGUUCAGAAAGAAUCAAAUGCCACACUUGGAAACACUCCUACUGUCUAACAUCAACCAGACACACAAUGUGCAGAAAAAAAGUCUCAGUGGUCAUGUGGGAGAAAGCCUAGAUCCACGUCCAGUUU